This 446-nucleotide ribosomal RNA is filed under the name uncultured bacterium. RNAcentral describes it as "partial 16S ribosomal RNA". It matches the Rfam family "Bacterial small subunit ribosomal RNA", at positions 338 to 795 of the family's 1533-position model. The record is from RNAcentral.
CCUACGUGAGGCAGCAGUCGAGAAUCAUUCACAAUGGGGGAAACCCUGAUGGUGCGACGCCGCGUGGGGGAAUGAAGGUCUUCGGUUUGUAAACCCCUGUCAUGUGGGAGCAAAUGAAAAAGAUAGUACAACAAGAGGAAGAGACGGCUAACUCUGUGCCCGCAGCCCCGGUAAUACAGAGAUCUCAAGCGUUGUUCGGAAUCACUAGUCGUAAAGCGUGCGUAGGCUGUUUCGUAAGUCGUGUGUGAAAGGCGCGGGCUCAACCCGCGGACGGCACAUGAUACUGCGAGACUAGAGUAAUGGAGGGGGAACCGGAAUUCUCGGUGUAGCAGUGAAAUGCGUAGAUAUGGAGAGGAACACUCGUGGCGAAGGCGGGUUCCUGGACAUUAACUGACGCUGAGGCACGAAGGCCAGGGGAGCGAAAGGGAUUAGAUACCCCAGUAGUC